Molecule: ribosomal RNA, 254 nt
Filed under: uncultured bacterium
Lineage: Bacteria
Description: partial 16S ribosomal RNA
Rfam family: Bacterial small subunit ribosomal RNA
Source: RNAcentral
UACGGGGGGAGCAAGCGUUGUUCGGAUUUACUGGGCGUAAAGGGCGCGUAGGCGGCCACCGCAAGUCAGUUGUGAAAUCUCCGGGCUUAACUCGGAAAGGUCAACUGAUACUGCGGGGCUAGAGUGCGGAAGGGGCAACUGGAAUUCUCGGUGUAGCGGUGAAAUGCGUAGAUAUCGAGAGGAACACCUGCGGCGAAGGCGGGUUGCUGGGCCGACACUGACGCUGAGGCGCGAAAGCUAGGGGAGCGAACGGG